Non-coding RNA from Acanthosepion pharaonis, 115 nucleotides. Lineage: Eukaryota; Metazoa; Mollusca; Cephalopoda; Sepiida; Sepiidae. The record is from the annotation of a GenBank genome assembly.
UUACGGCCAGAUCACGUUGAAACACCAGUAUCGUUACGAUCACCGAAGUUAAGCGAUGUUGAGCCUGAUCAGUACCUAGAUGGGUGACCGCUUGGGAAAUACCAGAUGUUGUAAG